This 89-nucleotide small nucleolar RNA is filed under the name Otolemur garnettii (small-eared galago). RNAcentral's name for it is "Small nucleolar RNA U3". The stretch from base 1 to 41 matches the Rfam family "Small nucleolar RNA U3", at positions 1 to 41 of the family's 219-position model. The record is from Rfam by way of RNAcentral. Lineage: Eukaryota; Metazoa; Chordata; Mammalia; Primates; Galagidae.
AAGACUAUACUUUCAGGGAUCAUUCCUAUAGUUUGUUUCUAAUCAUGUGGACAAAGAUUAAACUACAAAGAUGUUCAUCACAGAGUUGU